GACAGGGGUGUAAAGUUGACGGAAGAAAGGCCAAAGGGAAACUGCUUAAAAGAUCUAUUUUAAAUUACUUGCUGUUUAGGUUUCUUAAUGCUCCAGCCCAUCUGGAAUUCCCAGCAGAAUACACUCUGUACAUGCCUGUUCAUCCCGUGCUUUCGCAAACUCCCAGCACACUGCUGUGCACAUUUAAAGGCACUCUAAAAAACUAACAACUGAAUGUUGUUUGAAAAAAAAUUGACUGGCUCCUCCCAUCAGCUGUUUUUGUCUGCACCUAGAUAAUGCCAUAUAUCUGGAUGAAAAGAACAAAUUCUACCAACUAUCAGGUGAGCUAUCUGAGGAUCCGAGAAUCAAGAGCCCCUGCCUUGGAUGAGGCCUUGUCCAGGCAGUGGCAGUGAGACUGGGAGAAACAUCUCAUCUUGCUCCCCAAGGGUAAAGCUGACAGCUCUCCUGGAGACGUACAGGAAGGCAUUUUGGCUUCAGAUCUUCUGAAUCAAGCGCAACUUGCUGGCAUCCUGACUGCUUCAGGGAGGCACCAUUGUCACCUUUGAGAUGGAGUCUUAGAAGGCUUUCUUCCAGCCAGUUGUAAACUGCCUCGUGGCUAUCUUUCCUUCUCGACCUCCUGCACUAUGACUCCACAAUCAGCACCAGAAGCAGAAGAAAUAGCUGAACCGAGAAUGUUCCAUCAGCUCCUACAAUUGCGUGGGGUUAAAAUCUCUGUCCAUUUUCAGAAGCAAAUUUUCUACUUUGUGGCAAAAAGACUGCCUCCUGAAGUCCAGCCCACGUUGGGGUGUGGAGAGACAGCCCAUGUGGUAAGAGUAAGCGGACUGCCUUGCCCACUUUGCUUCCUUGGUCCAUGUGCCUCUCCUUCAGGAGCUUGUCAAAUAAGACUUGGAGUAAACUUAUGUACAUAGACACAUGCAUAUUUUUUUCCUUCAGAGAGCCUGUGGUUUAAUAUUUGUCAGCAUAUUACUGUCUCUCCAGAAGAGAAGACCCACUAGAAGGCUGCUGCAAUGGAGACCUAGUACCCAACAGAGGAUGAGAUUUGGAAUUAUGUUCAAGCAAUUACUUAAUUCAGGAAUUAUCUGCUGAAUACCUAAACCAGCGAUGGCAAAUGAAUUUUGUUGAGAAGGAAAUUUAUGCAAGUAAAAUAUUUAUGGGAACGCAUAAUCACAAGGGUUUCAUGCUGCUUAUAUUGGUGUGCUAUGUUUUCUUCAAGCCUGGAGGUGAAAUUCAUGUCUUGGUGUAAGGCAGCUGAAACUUCCAUAGAAAACCUACUGCCCUCCUGACCUGAGGAAUCAGAGGACAGAGCUUAUGGCCGCUAUCGCUGAAGGAACGUGAAGGGGGCGUUACAGAAAGGAGAGCACCAGAAGAUGGAAGUCCCAGUGUCUAGGACCUCUCUUAUUAAGAUGAAUGCAAGUGGUGAGAGCAGAUGUCCUUACCUUGUUCCUGAAGUUAUAGCUAUAAAAUGAAUUCUGGCUGUUCAGCAGGAAGGCCAGCAGGCAAAGGGGCAGCAGGGGGUCAUUCAAGAAGCAUCAGCUGGGGAGACACAGGACAUGGGAUAAGAUACUUUGGUGGGAUGCCCAGUUCCUGUUCGUUUUCUUUACCUGUCAUUGGCCCCCUGACAGGGUGUACUCCAAAUUCCCAGCAUUUCAAUUUCAAGCACUCUUCACAGCGUUUUUCAUGCUAAGCUCCGUGGACAGGUCUGCACAAUGCCAAAUGAAUUGCCAGGCAAGGAGUGAGACUGACAGUUGACCAAUUCUUGAUUUUCAUCCUUGAAUCUGUCAAGACUACUCAUUGGGAAGUGGAUUAACGAUCACAGAAGCCUUUCAGGGUAAGUCUCAGAGGCUACAGGGCUAACCUUACGAAUCCUCUUAGAAGGUGUGCAACAUUCUGCUCUGCAGACUCCUGAAAUUUUAUUUUCAAGGUUGUAGGUGUGUGAUGAUUUGCUUAUUUUGUGUAACUUAUUUUAUGGCUUCCCCCCCAUUACUUAAUAGAUGGAUGUUUUUUCCCCUCUCUGAAGCAUCCCUCUACCUGUAUCCUAAGUAGAUAUAAGGAAAGGCACCCCCUCUUCCUUUUCAGGUGUUCUCUCUUCUACUCAAAGUCUCAGUAGUUUCACUGUCUGACAGUACCAUUUCCUCCCGCUCAGGUGUCCAAGGGAAGCAUUUCUUCAUCUUCUUUUUGGCUCCUAUUAUGCGAGGAUGCCACCAAUUAUAAUGCAGAAACUUCAAGAAGUAGGUUUCCCUGUUGUGUUUCCCUUUAAACAUGUAGUGAAGUAUUUCACAUAAAAUGAGCACCAGUAAUUUUUUCAAAUAUUGAUUGAUUGACCUACCUUUUCAAUAUGAAGUGAUGUAGCAGCCUCAUGGAAUGUUCGUGUUCAUUUCCCAUAUUGCUUUUCUG
Molecule: long non-coding RNA, 2394 nt
Organism: Camelus dromedarius (Arabian camel)
Lineage: Eukaryota; Metazoa; Chordata; Mammalia; Artiodactyla; Camelidae
Exons: 15
Source: RefSeq, a predicted model, not a curated record